GACGAACGCUGGCGGCGUGCUUAACACAUGCAAGUCAAACGGAGUGGCGAACGGGUGAGUAAUACGUGAGGAACCUGCCCUCCUUUUGGGGAUAAGCCUUGGAAACGGGGUCUAAUACCGAAUAAAGGGGGAUGGGCGCGCUGCCUAUCAGCUGGUGGGGGGGGUGAUGGCCUACCAAGGCGGUGACGGGUAGCAGGCCUGAGAGGGUGACAUGGUACAUGAGGACUGGGAUACAGGCCAGAAUGCUGCUGGAGGGAGCAGUGUGGGAUAUUGCACAAUGGGCGAACGCCUGCUGCAGCGACGCAGGGUGGGGGAUGAAGGCUUUCGGGUUUCAAACCUCUGUCGCUAUCGAACGGGUAGGUGGAGAAGAAGCGCCGGCUAACUACGUGCCAGCAGCCGCGGUAAUUC
Molecule: ribosomal RNA, 408 nt
Filed under: uncultured bacterium
Lineage: Bacteria
Description: partial 16S ribosomal RNA
Rfam family: Bacterial small subunit ribosomal RNA
Source: RNAcentral